This 90-nucleotide ribosomal RNA is filed under the name uncultured bacterium. RNAcentral describes it as "partial 16S ribosomal RNA". It matches the Rfam family "Bacterial small subunit ribosomal RNA", at positions 1393 to 1482 of the family's 1533-position model. The record is from RNAcentral.
CCCGUCACAUCAUGAAAGCCGGUUGUACCCGAAGUCCGCAGGCUAACAGCAAUGAAGCAGCGGCCGAAGGUAUGGCUGGUGAUUGGGAUG